GGUUCGAGUCCUCCCAGACCCACCACUCUGGAUGUCUUGAUUGCGCAUACGAAUUUCAAAGUUUGAGCGCGGGCGUUGAGGCCUGUGUUCUGCUCUUUAACAACUUGUGAUGUAGCGAGCGUUUUAGAUGAUCAUCUAGACGUGUCGUGAGGCUAAGGCGGGGGAGUGAUCCCCUGAUUGUGAGUCGUUAUAUUCGCGCCGGGGCUUUGUACCCCCUGGCAACAGCACGGGAUCCGUCCGGUGCUGAAAAAGGACCUCGAGGCAACUUGAGGUUAUAUGGUCAAGCGAAUAAGCGCACACGGUGGAUGCCUUGGCGGUCAGAGGCGAUGAAGGACGUGGCAGCCUGCGAAAAGUGUGGGGGAGCUGGCAACAAGCAUUGAUCCCGCAAUGUCCGAAUGGGGAAACCCACUGCUUCGGCAGUAUCCUGCAGUGAAUACAUAGCUGCUGGAGGCAAACCCGGUGAACUGAAAUAUCUAAGUAACCGGAGGAAAAGAAAUCAACCGAGAUUCCCUGAGUAGUGACGAGCGAACGGGGAACAGCCCUUAAGCUGAUAUGGUUUUAGAAGAACAGUCUGGAAAGACUGGCCAUAGAAGGUGACAGCCCUGUAUUUAAAAGGGCCAUAUCAGUGAAGACGAGUAGGGCGGGGCACGAGAAACCCUGUCUGAACAUGGGGGGACCAUCC
This 682-nucleotide small RNA is filed under the name Pseudoxanthomonas sp. N1a. Its description in RNAcentral is "bacterial LSU rRNA". The stretch from base 279 to 682 matches the Rfam family "Bacterial large subunit ribosomal RNA", at positions 1 to 458 of the family's 2925-position model. The record is from RNAcentral. Lineage: Bacteria; Pseudomonadati; Pseudomonadota; Gammaproteobacteria; Lysobacterales; Lysobacteraceae.